GCCAAUCAGCGGAAGCCGCCGGGGCCGCCUAGAGAAGAGGCUGUGCUUCGGCGCUCCGGCUCCUCAGAGAGCCUCGGCUAGGUGUGGAAACAGGAAGAGAACUAGAACUGGAAGUAAAGCAUUGAAGAUGUGACUGAAUUGCUGCAAUCUCAUGAUCAAAUUUGAAUGGAUGAGGAGUUGCUUUUUAGGGAUGAGCAAAGAAAGUGGUUUCUCGAGAUGGAAUCUACUGGUGAAGUUGCUGUGAACAUUGUUAAAAUGCCAAUAAAGGAUUUAGGAAUUACAGAAACCUGGUUGAUAAAGCAGUGCCAGGGUGUGAGAGAGUUGACUUCAAUUUUGAAAUAAGUUCCACUGGCUGGGUGUGGUGGCUCACACCUGCAAUCCCAGUACUUUAGGAGGCCGAGACUGGUAGAUCAUUUGAGGUCAGGAGUUCAAGACCAGCCUUGCCAACAUGGUGAAACCCCACCUCUACCAAAUUAGCCAGGUGUGGUGCACACCUGUAGUCCCAGCUACUUGGGAAGCUGAGGCAGGAGAAUCUCUUGAACCAGGGAGGAGGAGGUUGCAGUAAGCCGAGAUGGCGCCCCUGCACUCCAGCCUGGGUGACAGAGUGAGACCUUGCGUUUAAAAAAAAAAAAAAAGGAAAAGGAAAAAAAAGUUCUACUGUGGGUAAAAUGCUAUCAUGCUAUCAAACAGCAUCACAUGCUACAGAGAAGUCUUGUGAAAGGAUGUCAGUGUGGCAAACUUCAUUGUCUUUUAAGAAAUUGCCACAGCUAUCGUAAUCUUCAACCACCACCACCCUGAUGAGUCAGUAGCCAUCGUUAACGUUGGCGUAAGACCCUCCACCAGCAAAAAGAUUGUUAGCAUUUUUUUAGCAGUGAUGUAUUUAUCAAUUAUACAUAAUGCUAUUGUACACUUCUUAAUAGACUAUGGUAUAGUGUAACCAUAAUUUAUGCACUGGGAAACCAACAAAUUCAUGAGAUUCGCUUUAUUGUAGUGCUCUGGAAUUGAGCCUGCCGUGUUUCUGAGGUAUACCUGUGUAUUUAGUAUGUUCCUUGUAUAUAAAACCCCAUUUUAUAGGGUAGGAAACUAAGGCUUAGAGUUUGAGCAAUUUUCCCAUAGAUAACACCAAUAAAUUGAGGGCUGCAGAGACCACUUAAGUGGUUCUCUUAACAGUAGUCUAGACAUGACGUAAUGAGAUUUGGCUUAGGAGUGACAAUGGUAAGGAAGUUAAAGGAUUCAGGAACCAAAUACCAGUUAUUGAGAAGAAAGAAUGGCCUCAAAACAUCACUUCUCAAGGAAGCCUUGAUACCCUCACCCUUACUACACUGUAUCCUCCAUUUGAAUGUUGUCAAGAGCUCUUCUCACAAUUGUAAAUAAUAAUUGUGUAAUUUUGUUUUUUUUUUCCUACUUUAGGUUGCUCCUUGAGGGCAGGACAGUUCUUAUGGCUUUAUCCGUUGCGUAAGCACAGAGAGGUCUGCGAGGUCAAAACUAUUGUCAUGAUAGCAAGAUGCCUGUCUUUUUCAUUUAUUCUCACGGUGUGCAGAGGCUACAUGAUGUGUGAUGACAUCCUCAUUGAUGUUAAUGAAUGGUGCUAUACUUGAAUUUUCUAAGGUGUCAUUAGGUAGGUUUAGGUAUGCAUACUUGUUUUUAGAAAUUAUUUUUUUCCUUUUUCCCAUUUUUAGAAAUCAACUCAUUUUUUAGGUUAUGCCUUCAGUAAUCUUUGCAACCUCAAUAUUGUGUAAUGGUUACUUUAAAAUACUGUAGUUUUCUUUGUGCCUAAGUAUAAACAUAAGUACAUUUUGUUGUUUUGUUUGCAAUAGUGGUUUAAAUAUUUUCCCAAAAUAUCCAAAUUUAAAAAUUCUACAACUUUAGAAUUUAAUAAAUUUAUUCUAAAAUAUUUAUAUAUUUUUUCAUUUAAGAAUGGAUCGGCUUAAAAAGACUGCUUCUCAUUUACUUACUGGCUAUACCAUCUGUAUACUAAUAAAAAACAAGAUUUGAUUUGGAAGGACUGACUCAAACUAACGAAAAUAUGAAACCUGUCUUUCUGCUUUGGAGAUAUUUACCUAAUCAUGUUCUGCAGUAGAAUAAUUUAGUUCUUUUGUCUUUUUUUGGAGAUGAGGUCUUGCUGUGUUGCCCAGGCUAUUCACAGCUGCCAUCAUAGUGAACUACAGCCUGAAACUCCUGGGUUCAAGAGAUCCUUCUGCCUCAGCCUCCUGAGUAGCUGGAACUAUAGGCAUGCGCCACCAAGCCUGGGCUUUUAAAAAAAUUUUAAAAAGAAUUUUGAGACAGGAUCUUGCCAUGUUGCUCAGGCUAGUCUUCAACUCCUAGCCCUGAGUGAUCUUGCUUUGGGCCUCUCAAAAUGUUGAGUUAAUAGGCGUGAGCCACCAUACCCAGCCAAAAAUUUUUUUAGAGAUGGGAAUGGAAUGAUCUUGAAUAGUGUUGGUGCCACCUAUGUUGUGGCAUCAUUUUGAAACCAAUCAUUCAGAGUGCUUUUUUUGGUAAGGCAUUAUUUUUUAAUGCAGGUAUGCCACUACUGGGAAAAAAAAAAAAACAGGUUUUAAAGCUAGAAAUGAAAAGCUACUUAAGUAUCUUAAAGGAUAAGUUACUUUAUUAUACACUAGAAACAUACACAAUAGCUGAAAAACUUAAAAAAUCUCACACUGCUGAAUGUCUCUGCUGGCUGAAGUGUAAGUAAAAGAUCAUAGUAGUGCCGCUGUUGAGUGAUAAAGCAACUUGUCAUUAAAGAUGUGUGUGCAGACAUGGAUUCUGAGUUAAUAUCUCAUCUGUAGAAGUAUAUAUUUGUCCCUUGCUUUGGGAUUGGUUUCUGGACAGCACUCCCCCACCCUUGCUGGCCAUUUGCCAAGGACACCAAAACCCAAGGAUGUUGAAUUCCCUUUUAUAAAAUGGCGCUGUAUCUGCAUACAACUUACACACAUCCUCCCAUAUACUUUAAAUCAUUUCCAGAUUUCUUAUACUUCAUACAAUGUGAAUGCUAUAUAAAUAGUUGUUACAUUGUGUACUUAUAUUUGUACUAUUGUAUUAAAUAUUCUCAAAUAUUUUCAAGCACAUUUGGUUGAAUCUGCAGAUGCAGAACCUGAGGAUAUGGAGGGCUGACUGUGCUAAUACGUUAUCAAUGGAUGCGUGCAUAAACAUGGCUGGACUUGUUACUUGGCUUGUAUUUGCCAGGCAUCAGCACCAACUAGUUAAAGAUACUCUUACGUGAAAGCUUGGCAACAAACACAUGUCCUGAAAUAAUGCAAGUGUAGAAUAACUUUUUAAAAUCUCAUGGUUUAUGCUAAACUAUAUGUUGACAUAAGAGUGGUGAUAAGGCAACAGUAGGUAAAAGUAAAAUUUCAGGCACCUUGGCACAAACUGUGGCAGUGGCAUCAAACUCUAAGUUAUUUUUCACUGCCAUGCAUUUGUGGUGUGAACCCCCACAAAAGAAAAAAACCAGUUUCACUCAAGAAUGUCCUUGUGAAAGCAGUGACAUUUUGUUAAAUCUUAAACCCUACAGUACAUAACUUUUUGAAAUGGUUGUCUCAAGAAAAAGCACUCAUGUAAGCUGAAUUAUCUGCUAUUUCCUUGGAGCCUAACAACUGACAGCAAUUGUUUUCAAUGAUAAAAUCCAAACGUUGAGUCAAAAUCAGAAUUUCGGGAAAACUUGUGUCUAAUAUCAGGAACUUGACAGCUUCCCAAUACUUCAUGAGAUAGUGAUAUUGAAAAUAAUUUUUUUUUUUUUUUGGGACAUCUGGCUGACUGCAACCUCUGUCUCCUGGGUUCAAGCAAUUCUCCUGCCUCAGCCUCCUGCAUAACUGGGACUACAGGUGUGUACCACUGUACCCGGCUAAUUUUUGUAUUUUUAGUAGAGAUGGGGUUUCACCAUGUUGGCCAGGGUGGUCUUGAACUCCUGACCUCAGGUGAUCCACCUUGGCCUCCCAAAGUGCUAGGAUUACAGGUUUAAGCCACUGUGCCCGGCCAAUGAUAUUUUAGGUAGUAUACAGUAAAAUGGGCCAACAUUUGGGAGAUUGACAUAACUCAGUGAAGCUAUAUUUUCCUAAUGACUAAUACGUGAGAUUAUAGAAAACUGCUAGUAACAUUGUAACCAAUUGAAUGCAAAAGAAACAAUUCAGUUGUCUUCUAUUUAAGUCAGACAUUUAGGGAAACAAUUGCCAAAAUGUAAAACAAUGCACCUAUUUUUUUAAAAAUAUGCAUUUGUUGCUAUAAUAUUUAAAUAUUUUACUUUCUAAUAUGGUAAGAUACUAGUAAAGUGAUUUGGGGCCCUCAAUCUUUAAGAAUGUGAAGGGAUUCUCUGAGGCCACAAAGUUUAAGAAAUGGCUACUCUAGCACAAACGCACAUAGUAAAUACUCAAGUACCUGUUGAAUGACUUCAUGGAGUUAAAGUGACUCCUGGUAUUAAAUCUGUAUGGCUGGGAUAAUGGGCAUGCUAGGACAGGAAGCAGAUUUCCUUAACUUCACCACUGUAACUCAUUAACAAACAUGUUAGCCUGAGACAGAAGUAUUAAGGGGCGACAGGAAAGCCUUUCAUAAGCAAUGUGAUGCUUUUUUUCACAUUAUUCAACAUGGUUUAAAAUUUGGUAUACAGGCCUAUGGUGUUUGUCCUGAACUUUUGCCAGAGUAGAAUGGUUCAUGUUUUUCCUCAUAGAUUUUCACUCCUCACUAAACUUCAUGACAUCUAACAUGAACUUAUUAGAAAAGGCUAUGCUUGAGAAUAAGGAUAUCUUUUUUCUAUGCCUAUGUUGUUAAUGAGUAUGAAGCACUUACAGGCUUUUAUGUACUUGAGGUUCCAAAGACAUUUCCAAAUUUUCCCAUUUUCAGUCUUCAACUUAACAUUUUGGUCCUUGCAGUGGAGACCUGAGUCCUAUCUGACAUUGGGACUACAGUUAGGGCAGAAUUUCCUAAACUGCCAUUUUUUAAAGAAAUAAGGGUAACCAAAUGUUCCCCUUAAAAGCACUCUGGUACCCUCUAGUAUUGGGAGAUAACUAUCUUCCCCUAAUUAGAUUUGUAAAAUCUUUCUCAAUAUUUAUUUACAUUUUUUUCCCCUCAAAUAUAUUGACUUUUUCAUUCCCAGUAACAAUAUGUCUGGUCUGUAACUAAGUCAUUCCAUGUUCAGAUUACAGAUUUAUUUCCCCAUCUUUUCACAUUCUUUUAGUCCAGGAGACCCACUUUGAAGGUUAAAACCAAGGUCACACAAUGAAUAGGUGGCAGUGUCACAUAUAACUCAGCUCCAGGCCUUAUGAAUCCUGCUUAUAGCCCACUGCCUAUUCUAGUCACCAGAUUGAAAAACACCAUACUAGGGAAGAAGACGGCAAACUAUUGCCCACUACAUAUUUGUAUCAGUCUUGUCAAAUUUUUAUUGUAGUAUGUAAUAGAAUUAAAGCUAUGAUGAAUCAAGUAAAAAAUGAUUUCCUUAAAAACUAAGCUAAUAGGCGAAAAUACUCGCUUGUUCAACAAAUACCCAGUCUGGCAGAUACAAUACCCUGCCCUUAGUGGGGGGUGGAGUGGGGGGUGGGGGGGUGGGGAAAGACAUCGUGGUGAAAACAGACAUGGUCCUUGAACUUCCUGGUUCUGUGGGUUGCUUAAUUUGAGGUUUAAAUGGUUUCUCCCAUCAGGUGAAAAGUUUUGUGUUCGGCCCAUAAACAAAGCAGCUGUGAAUUCUGAUAGUGGUAAAAAGGCCAGUCUAGGAUAUAAAACCUUCAUAAACAUCUUAUUUCCCAUUCAUUAUGAAGUGUGGGGUAGGAGAUCAGAGAAACCAGAUGAGGAUUGCUGGCUGUGCUGCUAAUGUGAACUCUUCUUUCAAAAGUAUUGUGUCCUUUUAUUCUCAAUGGAGACAUCAGAAAGUAUUAAGAGGAGUACUAUUAUAAUACUAAUAGGAUACUGAAAAUCUAUACUGAUUGCAGCCAGAGGCUCCAAAAUAAACAAUACUAUGAUGAGUUCCACAAAAAAACCUCAACUACUCUUUGUUCCAGGGAAGCACCAUUUUCCACAAAACUCUCAAGAAGGACUUGUUGCAACUGGAAAAGCAAUUAAAUGUGAAUCGUGAUCCAGGAGAAAGUAACAACUCACAUAACUCCCAAAUUAAAAGUUUUCCAAAGAUAUAUCAUUUUUUUUCUCUUGGCCUUUUAAGAAACUAGCCAACAAAUACUCUUGACAGGUUUGUGUUUGGUUUUGAAAACACACACCUUAGUGUACUGAAAGAAAAACAAUUUCUUUUAAUUUGGUUUGUUGGUCCCACACCCCAUCUAUCAAUGUAUGUGCUAUUUACAAAUAAGUUCUAUACAGUAUUUUUGCAGUACCUUUGAUAAUUCCUAGACCUCUAUUUUCAUUCUGUGUAUUAAUGUGAAUAACAGAUGGAUAUUUUAAUAUUUAAGGCAGAUGGUAAACUUUCCUAUAGGUCUUGUGAGACUUCGUCUUAUAGGCUGAACACCAUUCACAAAAUGUAAUAAUGCUUCAUUCCUUCAGGUUGAGGUAAAGAACUUGAGCAACUGGAUUAGCAAAGCUGCAAAGAAUGAAAUGUGGCCUAAGAUGUAAUUAUGUUCUCUGCCCUUCCUUUGGGCCAGGGUAGUUUUGCACUUGACACAAUGGAAAAUAGGCCAUAAAGCCUGAAAAUAAAAUGUUCUAAACCCCAAUCUCACAGCACUUUAGUAGGCUUUUCACUAGGCAUCUUUAAAGUAUUUUCAACAAAAUACUAAUUAAGCUACCACUUCAAAAGAGCUUCAAGGAAAAGCUCUGCUUUCUUAUAAAAUCUUUUUGAGACAGAGUUUCGCUCUUGUCGCACAGGCUGGAGUGCAAUGGCGUGAUCUCGACUCACCGCAACCUCCGCCUGCUGGGUUCAAGUGAUUCUCUAGCCUCAGCCUCCUGAGUAGUUGGGAUUACAGGCGCCCGCCACCACACCUGGCUAAUUUUUGUAUUUCUAGUAGAGACAGGGUUUCACCAUGUUGGCCAGGCUGGUCUCCGGACCUCAGGUGAUCUGCACACUUCGGCUUCCUAAACUGCUGGAAUUACAGUCGUGAGCCACUGUGCCUGGUCUCAUAAAACUUUUAAAUUCCAUCACAUUACAUUCACACCUUUUGCUAACCAGGAUGAAGAGCCUUAAACAGGUUUAAAGAGUGCAGACUGCAGUUUUGUUAAUACUUUUUUCCUCUCCAAGUUCUUUUAUGCUAACAUUUCCAGUGGUGGGAAGUACAAGUACUAUUAGUCAUCUUCAUUCUUUGCAUUGCCAAAGAGUUCCUCUUUCUCCGUCUUGUUCUGAAGGAUGAACAAAAGCUUGAGGUGUACGUAUCAGAACGUAAACUGCAGCACGAAGACCACCAACGUUCACCCAGACUGUAUCCACCUUUCGCCAUACGUGUCGCAUUCCAGAUAACGCCUGUGUACACACAAAAAAAAUAACAAUUAGGUUGACAAUCUACUUUUACAUCAACUAGGAUUCUUAACUGCCAAGAUAGGAAACCUCAGGGGAAGAGAAAACAAAUCUUAUCCAAACAAACAUCCCCAAAUCUCAAAAAGAUCCCAAAGUUGCCACAGGCUGCGAUUUUGAGCUAAUGUGUAUAGCACCUUGGUAAAGCAUUUUGUGUCUUGAGUAAGUAGUACAGCUCGGCCUGUGGUAGGUGUGCAGACACGGCUCAUCUCCCGUAGGCAAGCUGGAUAAAGGUUCCAGUUUCUCUUCUUGGAUCCCAUCCUAUAAUAGAAGGUCUCAUGAGUCAAACACUUGCAAAAGAUACAAAAUAGAAGGACUAUAUGAAACAAAAACAGUUUCAUGCAUCCUGAGGCAUGAAAAAUAGCUGUAGUUUUAGAAACCAGACCUUUGCCAUUACAUGUCUAUGAAAUAAGUUGAGUUAGUAAACUGCUUAGAAUUCUGAAUCAAAAAAAUUUUUUUUAGACAACUGUGUUAGUUAUAUGACUUGUCCUCUUAGUAUAAUAAGCAGUCAAACUGUAUAAACCAAACAAGUGAUUAGAAAUCAUUUAGGCCAGGUGUUUUGGUGGCUCAUGCCUGUAAUCCCAGCAGUUUGGGAGGCUGAGGCGGGCAGAUCACCUGAAGUCAGGAGUUUGAGACCAGCCUGGCCAAUAUGGUGAAACCCUGUCUUUUAAAAAUACAAAAAUAAGCUGGGCAUGAUGGCAUGUGCCUGAAAUCCGAGCUACUCAGGAGGGUGAGGCAGGAGAAUCGCUUGAACCCGGGAGGCAGAGGUUACAGUGAGCCGAGAUCAUACCACUGCACUCCAGCCUGGGCAACAGAGCAGGGCUCUGUCUCCAAAAAAAAAAAAAGAAUCAUUUAUGCUGAGAAACAGAAUGAGAACCAAGUCUUCUACCACCUUUUUGUGUAGGAUAUAUAAUUCAAGAAUGGGCUAGAAAGUGAAUUACAGGUAAUUUAAAAAUGAACCUCCCAUGAUGGUCAGGAUUCCAAAUGUAGUUAAUACAUUCCUGAGUUCUCGGAAGAAACAUAAUGGGUGAAUCCAUCAUGUUGUUAAGUGAAAAACAGCUCUGCUAAGUCUGCUAAAAUUCAAGAUUUUUUUCCUGACUUAGAAUAAACGCAAGGAAAAUAAUGACAUAUUUAGAAGACAAGCAGGUACUAGUAUUUCUCACCUUUUUCCAAAUGGCAAAUCUGUUACAAUAAUAUCCACAGAGCCAGUUCUCAAUGGCAGAUUGCAGAUAUCCCACUGAACAGCAUCUAUGGGCAAGCCCCAGGAGGGUUUGCUGUGGGGACAAAGGAAAGGUGCUUCAACAUACUGUGAAGCAUAAAGUUAUUACAACAAUUUUUGUUUCUGAAGAGAGACUGCUACAGCAAAACAUAAACUGCUAAGGAUAUCAGUGAUAAUAUCAACCUAUUCAAAAUUUAAGAAAUGGCACAAAGGUAAAAAAUAGGUCAGGCUGGGCAUGGUAGCUUGUGCCUAUAAUCAGCACUUUCAGGGGCUGAGGUGGGAGGAUCACUGGACUCCAGGAAUUUGAGACCAGCUGAGCAACACUGUGAGACCUUGUCUCUAAAAUACUUUUUUAAGAAGUUAGCAGGGCAUGAUGGCACACACCUAUAGUCCCAGCUACUCAGGAGGCUGAGGUGGGAGGAUCACUUGAGUCCAGGAGUUGAAAGAUGCAGUGAGCUAGGAUUGUGCCGCUUUACUCCAGCCUGGGUGACAGAGCAAGACCCCCGUCUCAGAAAAAAGGGAAACAAACUGAAAACAUGAUUGUAAUGCAGAGAACUGCAAAAGACAACUUUAAAAACAAUGCUGAAGCAGUAAAUUACAUAACCGAUGAUACAAAAAUUUAAGUUGCUGAUAAAACAUACACUGGAG
Molecule: long non-coding RNA, 9302 nt
Filed under: Homo sapiens (human)
Lineage: Eukaryota; Metazoa; Chordata; Mammalia; Primates; Hominidae
Description: PREDICTED lncRNA (TCONS_00190521)
Source: RNAcentral